This 98-nucleotide ribosomal RNA is filed under the name Capsicum annuum. The record is from RNAcentral. Lineage: Eukaryota; Viridiplantae; Streptophyta; Magnoliopsida; Solanales; Solanaceae.
GUAUACGAUCAUACCAGCACUAAUGCACCGGAUCCCAUCAGACCUCCAAAGUUAGCGUGCUUGGGCGAGAGUAGUAUUGCAUCACUUCAUUUUUUUUU